UUUAUGGAGAGUUUGAUCCUGGCUCAGGAUGAACGCUGGCGGCGUGCCUAAUACAUGCAAGUCGAGCGAACGGACGAGAAGCUUGCUUCUCUGAUGUUAGCGGCGGACGGGUGAGUAACACGUGGAUAACCUACCUAUAAGACUGGGAUAACUUCGGGAAACCGGAGCUAAUACCGGAUAAUAUUUUGAACCGCAUGGUUCAAAAGUGAAAGACGGUCUUGCUGUCACUUAUAGAUGGAUCCGCGCUGCAUUAGCUAGUUGGUAAGGUAACGGCUUACCAAGGCAACGAUGCAUAGCCGACCUGAGAGGGUGAUCGGCCACACUGGAACUGAGACACGGUCCAGACUCCUACGGGAGGCAGCAGUAGGGAAUCUUCCGCAAUGGGCGAAAGCCUGACGGAGCAACGCCGCGUGAGUGAUGAAGGUCUUCGGAUCGUAAAACUCUGUUAUUAGGGAAGAACAUAUGUGUAAGUAACUGUGCACAUCUUGACGGUACCUAAUCAGAAAGCCACGGCUAACUACGUGCCAGCAGCCGCGGUAAUACGUAGGUGGCAAGCGUUAUCCGGAAUUAUUGGGCGUAAAGCGCGCGUAGGCGGUUUUUUAAGUCUGAUGUGAAAGCCCACGGCUCAACCGUGGAGGGUCAUUGGAAACUGGAAAACUUGAGUGCAGAAGAGGAAAGUGGAAUUCCAUGUGUAGCGGUGAAAUGCGCAGAGAUAUGGAGGAACACCAGUGGCGAAGGCGACUUUCUGGUCUGUAACUGACGCUGAUGUGCGAAAGCGUGGGGAUCAAACAGGAUUAGAUACCCUGGUAGUCCACGCCGUAAACGAUGAGUGCUAAGUGUUAGGGGGUUUCCGCCCCUUAGUGCUGCAGCUAACGCAUUAAGCACUCCGCCUGGGGAGUACGACCGCAAGGUUGAAACUCAAAGGAAUUGACGGGGACCCGCACAAGCGGUGGAGCAUGUGGUUUAAUUCGAAGCAACGCGAAGAACCUUACCAAAUCUUGACAUCCUUUGACAACUCUAGAGAUAGAGCCUUCCCCUUCGGGGGACAAAGUGACAGGUGGUGCAUGGUUGUCGUCAGCUCGUGUCGUGAGAUGUUGGGUUAAGUCCCGCAACGAGCGCAACCCUUAAGCUUAGUUGCCAUCAUUAAGUUGGGCACUCUAAGUUGACUGCCGGUGACAAACCGGAGGAAGGUGGGGAUGACGUCA
Molecule: ribosomal RNA, 1205 nt
Filed under: Staphylococcus aureus
Lineage: Bacteria; Bacillati; Bacillota; Bacilli; Caryophanales; Staphylococcaceae
Description: bacterial SSU rRNA
Rfam family: Bacterial small subunit ribosomal RNA
Source: RNAcentral